RNAcentral lists this ribosomal RNA (254 nucleotides) under uncultured bacterium. RNAcentral describes it as "partial 16S ribosomal RNA". It matches the Rfam family "Bacterial small subunit ribosomal RNA", at positions 107 to 354 of the family's 1533-position model. The record is from RNAcentral.
UGAGUAACACGUGAGUGACCUGCCUUUUAGACUGGAACAACUUACCGAAAGGUGAGCUAAUGCCGGAUGUGUUAUAUAAGUGCAUGUUUAUAUAGGAAAAGUUGGGGAGACCUGACGCUGAAAGAUGGACUCGCGUCCCAUUAGCUAGUUGGUAGGGUAAUGGCCUACCAAGGCGACGAUGGGUAGCCGGCCUGAGAGGGUGGCCGGCCACACUGGGACUGAGACACGGCCCAGACUCCUACGGGAGGCAGCAG